This 492-nucleotide ribosomal RNA is filed under the name uncultured bacterium. Its description in RNAcentral is "partial 16S ribosomal RNA". It matches the Rfam family "Bacterial small subunit ribosomal RNA", at positions 29 to 507 of the family's 1533-position model. The record is from RNAcentral.
AGUGAACGCUGGCGGUAGGCCUAACACAUGCAAGUCGAACGGCAGCACAGUAAGAGCUUGCUCUUACGGGUGGCGAGUGGCGGACGGGUGAGGAAUACAUCGGAAUCUACUUUUUCGUGGGGGAUAACGUAGGGAAACUUACGCUAAUACCGCAUACGACCUACGGGUGAAAGCAGGGGAUCUUCGGACCUUGCGUGAUUGAAUGAGCCGAUGUCGGAUUAGCUAGUUGGCAGGGUAAAGGCCCACCAAGGCGACGAUCCGUAGCUGGUCUGAGAGGAUGAUCAGCCACACUGGAACUGAGACACGGUCCAGACUCCUACGGGAGGCAGCAGUGGGGAAUAUUGGACAAUGGGCGCAAGCCUGACCCAGCCAUGCCGCGUGGGUGAAGAAGGCCUUCGGGUUGUAAAGCCCUUUUGUUGGGAAAGAAAAGCAGCAGGUUAAACCCCCGCUGUUCUGACGGUACCCAAAGAAUAAGCACCGGCUAACUUCGUG